Cyprinodon variegatus (sheepshead minnow) is the source of this 299-nucleotide long non-coding RNA. RefSeq lists it as uncharacterized. The record is from RefSeq and is a predicted model, not a curated record. The transcript is spliced from 2 exons. NCBI's taxonomy places the organism in Eukaryota, Metazoa, Chordata, Actinopteri, Cyprinodontiformes, Cyprinodontidae.
UCCUAUAAAAUUCUUUUUGAUUUUACAGGAGAAUCAGUGGUUUUGGAGUGACAGUACUCAUUUCCACUUUAACAACUGGUGUUCUGGAGAGCCUAAUAACUUACAUGGAAAGCAGCAUUGCCUUUGCAUCAACCAUGGAUAUCAGAAGUGCUGGGAUGACUUACAGUGCUCCUACCCUAAACCAUCUGUCUGUGCCAGGAAAGGCUACUGAACAGUCUUUAAUUCUAUCCUUUACUCUAUCGCUGUUAAACAACUUAUGAAAACAAAAGAGUUGCAACAUUUACUGAUAUACCAUUAAU